GAUGAAGCUUUGCCUAAUCUAGUCAUUGUGGAUUCAAUAGAAAACAUCUAGGUGGGGAGGAAAGGACCUUUAGAACAGAGGCGUGGAGGUUGAGAUCUUGGAGGAUGGUCUACCAGAGGGCGGCGAUGGUGGCCAUGUCGUCAUCAUCGCCAGCAGUCCUUGGCCAUUUCGUAUCUGAUUGAUCCGACCACAGGAGGAAAGGAAUAAUCAAAUCAGAUCUACAGCUACGAAAAUAACAUGAACAAACUUAUAUUUUAUAUAGUGCAUGACCUAAAUUUAUAGGCUAAUUCCAUUCUACCACUCAUAAUAAUUCUGAACUAAAUGCUAUAAACUCUAAUUAGAGCAACCACUUACAAACACUUUUUUUCUAAAAACGCCAGAUUGUAGACCAAUUAACAAUCUGAUUGAUAGUAACUAAGCAUCUCGCCCGGUUCAAUGUUAAUUUUCUAAAUGGUUGGUCUCUAACAAACAUGCCACUGAAUUUAGCAAUACAGUAUCUAAGACAUGCUACACCUGUCAAUUUUGUAUCUAAACACUGAAAAAACAAAUAAUACAACUAUCUACUAUAGAAAAAAGUCAAGGUAAUAGAAAUAUUUACCUUUUUCAAUUGGGAUUCCUAAAGAAGAAGUGAUAUUUGAGGAGGAAACAUGCUCCAAAAUUCAUCUGAAACCGAUGUAUGCAACUAGCCUCCCUAUGGAGCAGUUACAGCUAGGAUCCUACCCCUGCCCCUGAAUUUGUAACAAGGCAUGAUGUAGAAGCCAAAAGCAAUAACUAAAUCAUAAAAUACUUGCUGAAUUUGUAACAAGGCAUGAUGUAGAAGCCAAAAGCAAUCAGUACUCAUAAAAUACCUAUCAUUUUUAAUUUGAUUUUUUGAGGAAGUGGCCCUAGGCCCCUAGCUCAACUGGUUAGGUGGCCUCGAUGCGGUUGUGGAGGUCGAUG
RNAcentral lists this long non-coding RNA (939 nucleotides) under Zea mays. Its description in RNAcentral is "long non-coding RNA (ZMAY_LNC002167)". The record is from RNAcentral. Lineage: Eukaryota; Viridiplantae; Streptophyta; Magnoliopsida; Poales; Poaceae.